RNAcentral lists this small nuclear RNA (109 nucleotides) under Microcebus murinus (gray mouse lemur). The record is from RNAcentral. Lineage: Eukaryota; Metazoa; Chordata; Mammalia; Primates; Cheirogaleidae.
GUGCUCACUUUAGCAGCAUAUAUACUGUAACUAGAGUGAUUCAGAGAAGCUUAACAUGGCCUCUGUGCAAAGAUGAUACACACCAAUUGGUGAAGCAUUUCAUAAUUUG